This 73-nucleotide transfer RNA is filed under the name Trichonephila inaurata madagascariensis. It matches the Rfam family "tRNA". From Rfam's summary of the family: Transfer RNA (tRNA) molecules are approximately 80 nucleotides in length. Their secondary structure includes four short double-helical elements and three loops (D, anti-codon, and T loops). Lineage: Eukaryota; Metazoa; Arthropoda; Arachnida; Araneae; Nephilidae. The record is from Rfam by way of RNAcentral.
CUCCCUGUAGCGCGAUGGAUAGUGUGUUGGACUUCUGAUCCAAAAGUAGUGGGUUCGAAUCCCACCUGGGAUG